This 433-nucleotide ribosomal RNA is filed under the name uncultured bacterium. RNAcentral describes it as "partial 16S ribosomal RNA". It matches the Rfam family "Bacterial small subunit ribosomal RNA", at positions 29 to 507 of the family's 1533-position model. The record is from RNAcentral.
AACGAACGCUGGCGGCAUGCCUAACACAUGCAAGUCGAACGAGACCUUCGGGUCUAGUGGCGCACGGGUGCGUAACGCGUGGGAACCUGCCCUUAGGUUCGGAAUAACUCCCCGAAAGGGGUGCUAAUACCGGAUAAUGUCUUCGGACCAAAGAUUUAUCGCCUUUGGAUGGGCCCGCGUUGGAUUAGCUAGUUGGUAGGGUAAAAGCCUACCAAGGCGACGAUCCAUAGCUGGUCUGAGAGGAUGAUCAGCCACACUGGGACUGAGACACGGCCCAGACUCCUACGGGAGGCAGCAGUGGGGAAUAUUGGACAAGGGGCGAAAGCCUGAUCCAGCAAUGCCGCGUGAGUGAUGAAGGCCUUAGGGUUGUAAAGCUCUUUUAGCCGGGAUGAUAAUGACAGUACCGGGAGAAUAAGCUCCGGCUAACUCCGUG